GUAAGUCCGGUAAUGCUCCGUAACCCUGUUCUGGCAUCAGAUACGGGUUAGGGGUGUUACACAUUCAAUUAUAAUGAUAGCACAAUUUGAAUACAUCACAAACUCACUCACUAAUGUUCCUCACAAUGAACAGGUUGAGCUUUUUCAAAUAUGCACCAGAGGCGUAUCUAGGGGAGCUAGCAUGGCCUCGACCCCCCUAAAUUAGAAAAAUUUCAUUUAGGCCCUUUAUAAUUUAUAGAAUUUUAAAUUAGUAAUGAUAAAAUUGCACAUUGGCCUCCCAAAAAUGAUAAAAAAAUAUUUUAGUAUUCUAAAAAUUAUAAAAAUAUAAGCUAUCAAAAUGAUGAAAUUGUAUUUUUACUAUAAUAAAAAUAUACAAGGUAAUUCUGCCCAAAAAUUUUUCCUAACUUCACCCCUGAUCUGCACCGAAAUCCGUAAAUGUGUUCGCGUCUCAAUCUUGAUGAAUUAAGCUAGUAUGAUAAGAACAAAAUCUAAAGAGUUCUGGUUCAUAUCAAUCACCUUCAAUGUCUGCUUGAGAUAAACAAAAACACACCUUUGAUCGCGUAUCUCUUAAAUAUAAAAAAUAAUCGCACUAAAUCACUUCAAGUUUUCUUGCUUGAUGAAAUAUCAUCUUCAAUUAUACUGCAAUAUUUACUACACAAAAUCCUUUAAAUAAUUAAACAUAAUCAAAAGAGGCCAAUAAAAAUUAACAAAUCUAAGCAUCUCAAUUACUAAUCUAAGCUGCAACUUGCUGUAUCAACCAUAAUAAAAAAUAUAAAUGUCUGCAUUAGCAAAUUCACCUUUUAAUCUUUUAAAUUAAAAAACAAAAUGCCGCUGCCAAUAGUUUAUUCGUUUCUUUCUUCACUUUUGAUUCACUGCCUGGCUUAAUAUCCAAUGAUUAGUUUUUAGGUUUAAAAAGAAUAAAUAAUUAAAAUAUAACAAAAGUACACAAAUACAUAAUAUAUUUGACAUUCAUGAUUUACAUGAGUAGGCUAUAAAAUAUAACCGUUGAAUUGUUAAAAUAUUAAUCAUAUAAAUAAUUAUGAAAAUGUGUAAAAUUAUUUUAAAUAUUAAUCAUAUCGACCUUUCCUCGUAUAAAAAUGAUAUAAGUACAUAAAUAUUUUUGAAAUUUAGAUAAUACAAUCUAGUAAUGUACAAGAAUUUAAAUAUAUAAAAUACUUUUAAAAUGUUUAUGGCGCUAUAUAUACAUAUAGAAACAAAUAAAAUAAAAUAAAAUAAAAAUUGCAAAAUGAAAACCGAAACAAAUAAAAAGAAAAUGUAUUUGAUGUUUAACCCAGCCAGUGAAUCUAAAAAGAAGAAAGCAAAGAAGCUGCUUUCAAAUUUCUGAGGA
RNAcentral lists this long non-coding RNA (1348 nucleotides) under Gossypium raimondii (Peruvian cotton). RNAcentral's name for it is "long non-coding RNA (GRAI_LNC007186)". Lineage: Eukaryota; Viridiplantae; Streptophyta; Magnoliopsida; Malvales; Malvaceae. The record is from RNAcentral.